CAGUAGGGAAUCUUCCGCAAUGGACGAAAGUCUGACGGAGCAACGCCGCGUGAGUGAUGAAGGCUUUCGGGUCGUAAAACUCUGUUGUUAGGGAAGAACAAGUGCUAGUUGAAUAAGCAGGCACCUUGACGGUACCUAACCAGAAAGCCACGGCUAACUACGUGCCAGCAGCCG
RNAcentral lists this ribosomal RNA (174 nucleotides) under uncultured Bacillota bacterium. RNAcentral's name for it is "uncultured Firmicutes bacterium partial 16S ribosomal RNA". It matches the Rfam family "Bacterial small subunit ribosomal RNA", at positions 352 to 517 of the family's 1533-position model. Lineage: Bacteria; Bacillati; Bacillota. The record is from RNAcentral.